RNAcentral lists this ribosomal RNA (707 nucleotides) under uncultured bacterium. RNAcentral's name for it is "bacterial SSU rRNA". It matches the Rfam family "Bacterial small subunit ribosomal RNA", at positions 1 to 711 of the family's 1533-position model. The record is from RNAcentral.
UAGAGUUUGAUCAUGGCUCAGGACGAACGCUGGCGGCGUGCUUAAUACAUGCAAGUCAACUGAACUUAAGAUAGCAAUAUUUUAAGGGAGGUGGCUGCACGGGUGAGUAACACGUAGGUAAUCUGCCUUUAGGUCUGACACAACCCCGAGAAAUCGGGGCUAAUAUCAGAUGAUGCAGCGGCUCGACAUCGAGACAGUUGUUAAACCUUCGGGGCCUAAAGAUGAGCCUGCGUCUGAUUAGGUAGUUGGCGGAGUAAAAGCCCACCAAGCCUGCGAUCAGUAGCUGGUCUGAGAGGAUGAUCAGCCACACUGGCACUGCGACACGGGCCAGACUCCUACGGGAGGCAGCAGUAAGGAAUAUUGCGCAAUGGGCGAAAGCCUGACGCAGCGACGCCGCGUGGGGGAUGAAGGUCUUCGGAUUGUAAACCCCUUUCGGGAGGGAAGAUGGAGCGAGCAAUCGUUCGGACGGUACCUCCAGAAGCAGCCACGGCCAACUUCGUGCCAGCAGCCGCGGUAAUACGAAGGUGGCAAGCGUUGUUCGGAUUCACUGGGCGUACAGGGUGUGUAGGCGGUUUGGUAAGCCUUCUGUUAAAGCUUUCGGGCCCAACCCGGAAAGCGCAGAGGGUACUGCCAGGCUAGAGGGUGGGAGAGGAGCGCGGAAAUUUCCGGUGUAGCGGUGAAAUGCGUAGAGAUCGGGAGGAAGGCCG